This 305-nucleotide ribosomal RNA is filed under the name uncultured bacterium. RNAcentral's name for it is "bacterial SSU rRNA". It matches the Rfam family "Bacterial small subunit ribosomal RNA", at positions 337 to 639 of the family's 1533-position model. The record is from RNAcentral.
UCCUACGGGACGCAGCAGUGAGGAAUAUUGGUCAAUGGGCGGAAGCCUGAACCAGCCAAGUCGCGUGAGGGAAUAAGGCCCUACGGGUCGCAAACCUCUUUUGCCGGGGAGCAACGGGGUCCUUGCGAGGGCCCGAUGAGAGUACCCGGAGAAAAAGCAUCGGCUAACUCCGUGCCAGCAGCCGCGGUAAUACGGAGGAUGCGAGCGUUAUCCGGAUUUAUUGGGUUUAAAGGGUGCGUAGGCGGGCUGUUAAGUCAGCGGUCAAAUGUCGGGGCUCAACCCCGGCCUGCCGUUGAAACUGGCGG